AUUGAACGCUGGCGGCAGGCCUAACACAUGCAAGUCGAACGGUAGCACAGAGAGCUUGCUCUCGGGUGACGAGUGGCGGACGGGUGAGUAAUGUCUGGGAAACUGCCCGAUGGAGGGGGAUAACUACUGGAAACGGUAGCUAAUACCGCAUAACGUCGCAAGACCAAAGUGGGGGACCUUCGGGCCUCACACCAUCGGAUGUGCCCAGAUGGGAUUAGCUAGUAGGUGGGGUAAUGGCUCACCUAGGCGACGAUCCCUAGCUGGUCUGAGCGGAUGACCAGCCACACUGGAACUGAGACACGGUCCAGACUCCUACGGGAGGCAGCAGUGGGGAAUAUUGCACAAUGGGCGAAAGCCUGAUGCAGCCAUGCCGCGUGUAUGAAGAAGGCCUUCGGGUUGUAAAGUACUUUCAGCGGGGAGGAAGGCGGUGAAGUUAAUAACUUCACCGAUUGACGUUACCCGCAGAAGAAGCACCGGCUAACUCCGUGCCAGCAGCCGCCGUAA
This 504-nucleotide ribosomal RNA is filed under the name uncultured bacterium. RNAcentral describes it as "partial 16S ribosomal RNA". It matches the Rfam family "Bacterial small subunit ribosomal RNA", at positions 30 to 523 of the family's 1533-position model. The record is from RNAcentral.